GUUUGAUCCUGGCUCAGAGCGAACGCUGGCGGCAGGCCUAACACAUGCAAGUCGAGCGGCCGUAGCAAUACGGCAGCGGCAGACGGGAGAGUAACACGUGGGAACGCGCCCUUCGGUUCGGAAUAACUCAGGGAAACUUGGGCUAAUACCGGAUACGCCCUUACGGGGAAAGAUUUAUUGCCGAAGGAACGGCCCGCGUCCGAUUAGCUAGUUGGUGAGGUAAUGGCUCACCAAGGCGACGAUCGGUAGCUGGUCUGAGAGGAUGACCAGCCUCACUGGGACUGAGACACGGCCCAGACUCCUACGGGAGGCAGCAGUGGGGAAUAUUGGACAAUGGGCGCAAGCCUGAUCCAGCCAUGCCGCGUGGAUGAUGAAGGCCUUAGGGUUGUAAAGUCCUUUCAGCGGGGAAGAUAAUGACGGUACCCGCAGAAGAAGCCCCGGCUAACUUCGUGCCAGCAGCCGCGGUAAUA
RNAcentral lists this ribosomal RNA (470 nucleotides) under uncultured bacterium. RNAcentral's name for it is "bacterial SSU rRNA". It matches the Rfam family "Bacterial small subunit ribosomal RNA", at positions 11 to 525 of the family's 1533-position model. The record is from RNAcentral.